Molecule: ribosomal RNA, 367 nt
Filed under: uncultured bacterium
Lineage: Bacteria
Description: bacterial SSU rRNA
Rfam family: Bacterial small subunit ribosomal RNA
Source: RNAcentral
GAUGAACGCUAGCGGCAGGCUUAAUACAUGCAAGUCGAGGGGCAGCACGAAUAGCAAUAUUUGGUGGCGACCGGCGCACGGGUGCGUAACACGUAUACAACCUACCUAUAACAGGGGGGAUAGCCCUUUCGAAAGAGAGAUUAAUACCCCCGUAAUAAAUUGAGUGGCAUCACUUGAUUUUGAAAGCUACGGCGGUUAUAGAUGGGUAUGCGUCUGAUUAGCUAGUUGGUGAGGUAACGGCUCACCAAGGCGACGAUCAGUAGGGGAUCUGAGAGGACUAACCCCACACUGGUACUGAGACACGGACCAGACUCCUACGGGAGGCAGCAGUAAGGAAUAUUGGUCAAUGGAGGCAACUCUGAACCAG